GAUGAACGCUGGCGGCGUGCCUAAUACAUGCAAGUCGAGCGAACAGACGAGGAGCUUGCUCCUCUGACGUUAGCGGCGGACGGGUGAGUAACACGUGGAUAACCUACCUAUCUGACUGGGAUAACUUCGGGAAACCGGAGCUAACACCGGAUAAUAUAUUGAACCGCAUGGUUCAAUAGUGAAAGACGGUUUUGCUGUCACUUCUAGAUGGAUCUGGGCCGCAUUGGAUAGUUGGUAGGGUAACGGCUUAUCAAGGCUACUAUGCGUAGCCGACCGCAGAGACUGAUAGGCCACACUGGAGCUGAGACGCGGUCCAGAGGCCUGCGAGAGGCAGCAGUAGGGAAUGUGCCGCAAUGGGCGAGAGCCUGACAGAGCAAGGCCGCGUGAGUGGUGGAGGUCUUCGGAUCGUAAUACUCUGUUACUAGGGAAAAACAAAUGUGUAAGGAACUAAGGACGGCUUGACGGUACCUGGUCAGAAAGCAACGGCUAACUACGUG
This 497-nucleotide ribosomal RNA is filed under the name uncultured bacterium. RNAcentral's name for it is "partial 16S ribosomal RNA". It matches the Rfam family "Bacterial small subunit ribosomal RNA", at positions 28 to 507 of the family's 1533-position model. The record is from RNAcentral.